AAAUCCGGUACUCGUUAAGGCUGAGCUGUGAUGGGGAGAAGACAUUGUGUCUUCGAGUCGUUGAUUUCACACUGCCGAGAAAAGCCUCUAGAUAGAAAAUAGGUGCCCGUACCGCAAACCGACACAGGUAGUCAAGAUGAGAAUUCUAAGGUGAGCGAGCGAACUCUCGUUAAGGAACUCGGCAAAAUGACCCCGUAACUGCGGGAGAAGGGGUGCUCUUUAGGGUUAACGCCCAGAAGAGCCGCAGUGAAUAGGCCCAAGCGACUGUUUAUCAAAAACACAGGUCUCUGCUAAACCGUA
RNAcentral lists this ribosomal RNA (300 nucleotides) under Staphylococcus aureus. Its description in RNAcentral is "partial 23S ribosomal RNA". It matches the Rfam family "Bacterial large subunit ribosomal RNA", at positions 1538 to 1835 of the family's 2925-position model. The record is from RNAcentral. Lineage: Bacteria; Bacillati; Bacillota; Bacilli; Caryophanales; Staphylococcaceae.